Mus musculus (house mouse) is the source of this 375-nucleotide long non-coding RNA. RefSeq annotates it as predicted gene, 40000. Lineage: Eukaryota; Metazoa; Chordata; Mammalia; Rodentia; Muridae. The transcript has 2 exons. The record is from RefSeq and is a predicted model, not a curated record.
CCUUCUCUUUCUGCUGCCACCUUGCCAUUUUCUCACAUGGGACUGUUUGGCCUGGUGUCGUCUUUCUGGAGCCGCGUGAUGAACACAGCAGGCUGAGCUACCCAGCUGGUGGAUCUACACUUCACGACGCAGGAAAGAGCAGUUUAUAGAACUGGAUCUUUGUGUUAGAGGACCUGAGGGGCAGCUACUAAGUAAUGCGAUGGGGGUCAAGAUUGAGGUGUGACCAGCAACCUCACACUCUUCUCGCCCCUGCAGCCUCCCGCUCCUCCUGCCCCUGCAGGGACAGCCACACUCCUGCCUCCACGUUUUCCCAUUUUCCCGUCAUGAAUAACUGUAUCCUGCCACUGGGAGCCAGAAUAAAUCCAUCUUCCUUAG